This 253-nucleotide ribosomal RNA is filed under the name uncultured bacterium. Its description in RNAcentral is "partial 16S ribosomal RNA". It matches the Rfam family "Bacterial small subunit ribosomal RNA", at positions 524 to 776 of the family's 1533-position model. The record is from RNAcentral.
UACGUAGGGGGCAAGCGUUGUCCGGAUUUAUUGGGCGUAAAGAGCGUGUAGGCGGCUUGGUAGGUCCGCUGUGAAAACUCGAGGCUCAACCUCGAGACGUCGAUGGAAACCAUCUAGCUAGAGUCCGGAAGAGGAGAGUGGAAUUCCUGGUGUAACGGUGAAAUGCGCAGAUAUCAGGAAGAACACCCGUGGCGAAGGCGGCUCUCUGGUACGUGACUGACGCUGAGACGCGAAAGCGUGGGGAGCGAACAGG